Molecule: ribosomal RNA, 1288 nt
Filed under: uncultured bacterium
Lineage: Bacteria
Description: bacterial SSU rRNA
Rfam family: Bacterial small subunit ribosomal RNA
Source: RNAcentral
UAGUGGCGCACGGGUGAGUAACGCGUGAACAACCUGCCUUUCAGUGGGGGAUAACACCUGGAAACAAGUGCUAAUACCGCAUGAGACCACGACCUGGCAUCGGGAUGGGGUCAAAGAUUUAUCGCUGAAAGAGGGGUUCGCGUCCCAUUAGGUAGUUGGUGAGAUAACAGCCCACCAAGCCGACGAUGGGUAGCCGAGCUGAGAGGCUGAUCGGCCACACUGGAACUGAGACACGGUCCAGACUCCUACGGGAGGCAGCAGUGGGGAAUAUUGGGCAAUGGGCGCAAGCCUGACCCAGCAACGCCGCGUGAGGGAAGAAGGUCUUCGGAUUGUAAACCUCUGUCGCAAGGGACGAAGGCGUGACGGUACCUUGUGAGGAAGCCCCGGCUAACUACGUGCCAGCAGCCGCGGUAAUACGUAGGGGGCGAGCGUUAUCCGGAUUUACUGGGUGUAAAGGGAGCGCAGGCGGACCGGCAAGUUGGAAGUGAAAACUAUGGGCUCAACCCAUAAAUUGCUUUCAAAACUGCUGGCCUUGAGUAGUGCAGAGGUAGGUGGAAUUCCCGGUGUAGCGGUGGAAUGCGUAGAUAUCGGGAGGAACACCAGUGGCGAAGGCGACCUACUGGGCACCAACUGACGCUGAGGCUCGAAAGCAUGGGUAGCAAACAGGAUUAGAUACCCUGGUAGUCCAUGCCGUAAACGAUGAUUACUAGGGGUUGGAAGGGGUGACCCCUUCCAGUGCCGCAUUUAAACACAAUAAGAUAACCCCCCUGGGGAGUACGCCCGCAGGGUGAAAACUCAAAGGAAUUGACGGGGGCCCGCACAAGCAGUGGAGUAUGUGGUUUAAUUCGAAGCAACGCGAAGAACCUUACCAGGUCUUGACAUCCGAUGCAUAGUGCAGAGAUGCAUGAAGUCCUUCGGGACAUCGAGACAGGUGGUGCAUGGUUGUCGUCAGCUCGUGUCGUGAGAUGUUGGGUUAAGUCCCGCAACGAGCGCAACCCUUAUUGCCAGUUACUACGUUAAGAGGACUCUGGCGAGACUGCCGUUGACAAAACGGAGGAAGGUGGGGAUGACGUCAAAUCAUCAUGCCCUUUAUGACCUGGGCUACACACGUACUACAAUGGCGUUAAACAAAGAGAAGCAAGACCGCGAGGUGGAGCAAAACUCAAAAACAACGUCUCAGUUCAGAUUGCAGGCUGCAACUCGCCUGCAUGAAGUCGGAAUUGCUAGUAAUCGCGGAUCAGCAUGCCGCGGUGAAUACGUUCCCGGGCCUUGUACACACCGCCCGUCA